GACGAACGCUGGCGGCGUGCCUAAUACAUGCAAGUAGAACGCUGAAGGAGGAGCUUACUUCUCUGGAUGAGUUGCGAACGGGUGAGUAACGCGUAGGUAACCUGCCUGGUAGCGGGGGAUAACUAUUGGAAACGAUAGCUAAUACAGCAUAAGAGUAGAUGUUGCAUGACAUUUACUUAAAAGGUGCAAUUGCACCACUACCAGAUGGACCUGCGUUGUAUUAGCUAGUUGGUGGGGUAACGGCUUACCAAGGCGACGAUACAUAGCCGACCUGAGGGGGUGAUCGGCCACACUGGGACUGAGAAACGGCCCAGACUCCUACGGGAGGCAGCAGUAGGGAAUCUUCGGCAAUGGACGGAAGUCUGACCGAGCAACGCCGCGUGAGUGAAGAAGGUUUUCGGAUCGUAAAGCUCUGUUGUAAGAGAAGAACGAGUGUGAGAGUGGAAAGUUCACACUGUGACGGUAUCUUACCAGAAAGGGACGGCUAACUACGUGCCAGCAGCCGCCGUAA
RNAcentral lists this ribosomal RNA (511 nucleotides) under uncultured bacterium. RNAcentral's name for it is "partial 16S ribosomal RNA". It matches the Rfam family "Bacterial small subunit ribosomal RNA", at positions 28 to 523 of the family's 1533-position model. The record is from RNAcentral.